RNAcentral lists this ribosomal RNA (492 nucleotides) under uncultured bacterium. RNAcentral's name for it is "partial 16S ribosomal RNA". It matches the Rfam family "Bacterial small subunit ribosomal RNA", at positions 29 to 507 of the family's 1533-position model. The record is from RNAcentral.
AGUGAACGCUGGCGGUAGGCCUAACACAUGCAAGUCGAACGGCAGCACAGUAAGAGCUUGCUCUUACGGGUGGCGAGUGGCGGACGGGUGAGGAAUACAUCGGAAUCUACUUUUUCGUGGGGGAUAACGUAGGGAAACUUACGCUAAUACCGCAUACGACCUACGGGUGAAGGCAGGGGAUCUUCGGACCUUGCGCGAUUGAAUGAGCCGAUGUCGGAUUAGCUAGUUGGCGGGGUAAAGGCCAACCAAGGCGACGAUCCGUAGCUGGUCUGAGAGGAUGAUCAGCCACACUGGAACUGAGACACGGUCCAGACUCCUACGGGAGGCAGCAGUGGGGAAUAUUGGACAAAGGGCGCAAGCCUGAUCCAGCCAUACCGCGUGGGUGAAGAAGGCCUUCGGGUUGUAAAGCCCUUUUGUUGGGAAAGAAAAGCAGCAGGUUAAUACCCCGCUGUUCUGACGGUACCCAAAGAAUAAGCACCGGCUAACUUCGUG